GAAAUGCGAUACGUAACGCGAAUUGCAGAAUUCAGUGAAUCGUCGAAUCUUUGAACGCAUAUUGCGGUUUUCGGGCUUGCUCGAAGACCAUGCCUCUUUCAGUAUCGGCUACCCAUCAAUCCGGAAGUCUGUGGACCGAAGGGAAAAUGAGAGUGUCGGGACCUCUUUUGUUUCUUGGCUCUCUUGAAAUUUUGGAAGGUGGAAAACUUGAGAGGUUGCUUUUUGGCUAGGCUUGUGUGAUUCUAAUGUCUCUCUGGACCUUGCAUGGAAGUGGGGUCGGGAGGUGUAGCUGUCUGAACCUUGAAGCGUGUCUCUUAGGUAAUCUGUUUAUGCCUUCAAAGCGGAAUAACUUUUUUUGCAUCUGAUCUGAAAUGAGGUAGGAGGACCCCCUGAACUUAA
This 399-nucleotide unclassified non-coding RNA is filed under the name uncultured Simplicillium. Its description in RNAcentral is "sequence contains ITS1". The stretch from base 1 to 107 matches the Rfam family "5.8S ribosomal RNA", at positions 50 to 154 of the family's 154-position model. The record is from RNAcentral. Lineage: Eukaryota; Fungi; Ascomycota; Sordariomycetes; Hypocreales; Cordycipitaceae.